ACCUGUAUAUUACCGCUUGUCUUCCAAUUCUGUUCCUCACGAAAAUCCCCAUAAAGAAAAUGCCAAGGUGUACACAGUUUCCAUGAUUGUCCUGGGGCAUUAUGGCAAGGAAAAUGGAUUACAACCCUAUGAAGGGCAGCUAUUAGAGAAGCAAAAGAAAAUUAAACAAAUCUAAAAAAGAGCCAUUUAGCCCUUUACCUUUACAGGGAAGAUUUCCUGUCCAAAUCCAUCCAAACGUUCAACUUCAUUGAUGUACAUCAGUUCAGCUUCUGCUGGCAGGAUU
Molecule: long non-coding RNA, 283 nt
Filed under: Homo sapiens (human)
Lineage: Eukaryota; Metazoa; Chordata; Mammalia; Primates; Hominidae
Description: HSALNT0021774
Source: RNAcentral